RNAcentral lists this ribosomal RNA (252 nucleotides) under uncultured bacterium. RNAcentral's name for it is "partial 16S ribosomal RNA". It matches the Rfam family "Bacterial small subunit ribosomal RNA", at positions 28 to 285 of the family's 1533-position model. The record is from RNAcentral.
GACGAACGCUGGCGGCGUGCUUAACACAUGCAAGUCGAGCGGAAAGGCCCUUCGGGGUACUCGAGCGGCGAACGGGUGAGUAACACGUGGGUAACCUGCCCUUCACUCUGGGAUAACUCCGGGAAACCGGGGCUAAUACCGGAUACGACCACUUUAGGCAUCUUCGGUGGUGGAAAGUUUUUCGGUGGAGGAUGGACCCGCGGCCUAUCAGCUUGUUGGUGGGGUAAUGGCCUACCAAGGCAGUGACGGGUA